AGUACCUGGAAGCCCUCCCAGUAUGGGAGGAGGCCUAUGAUACAGAAUUUCAAAGGGGGAGUAUGCUGUUCUCUUAGAAGGGGUACACUUAAUUUUAAACAAUACUAUAGGAAGGACUUGUGUCUAUUUUAAAUUUGUUUCUUGACAUACUUUCCAGAAACUUUUUCUGAUAGUUCGAUUCAUUUGCUGCACUUUCCGGAACUCUAAGGCAUUUCUGUGAAGUCCACUUGAAGAUCUUCAAAAUGAGCUGCUCCAGAGGCUUCUAUUCCCCGAGGUACAGAGGGGCCUUGCUUCGCAUUGUGCUGUCCACAGAAUAAGUUGGCACCAGAUCAAGCAUUUGAAGGAGUAGCAGGGCUGUGACUGAUGUCUGG
Molecule: long non-coding RNA, 371 nt
Filed under: Homo sapiens (human)
Lineage: Eukaryota; Metazoa; Chordata; Mammalia; Primates; Hominidae
Description: HSALNT0294356
Source: RNAcentral